This 465-nucleotide ribosomal RNA is filed under the name Vreelandella stevensii. RNAcentral's name for it is "partial 16S ribosomal RNA". It matches the Rfam family "Bacterial small subunit ribosomal RNA", at positions 338 to 795 of the family's 1533-position model. Lineage: Bacteria; Pseudomonadati; Pseudomonadota; Gammaproteobacteria; Oceanospirillales; Halomonadaceae. The record is from RNAcentral.
CCUACGUGAGGCUGCAGUGGGGAAUAUUGGACAAUGGGCGAAAGCCUGAUCCAGCCAUGCCGCGUGUGUGAAGAAGGCCUUCGGGUUGUAAAGCACUUUCAGUGGGGAAGAAAGCCUUGGGGCUAAUACCCUCGAGGAAGGACAUCACCCACAGAAGAAGCACCGGCUAACUCCGUGCCAGCAGCCGCGGUAAUACGGAGGGUGCGAGCGUUAAUCGGAAUUACUGGGCGUAAGGCGCGCGUAGGCGGUCUGAUAAGCCGGUUGUGAAAGCCCCGGGCUCAACCUGGGAACGGCAUCCGGAACUGUCAGGCUAGAGUGCAGGAGAGGAAGGUAGAAUUCCCGGUGUAGCGGUGAAAUGCGUAGAGAUCGGGAGGAAUACCAGUGGCGAAGGCGGCCUUCUGGACUGACACUGACGCUGAGGUGCGAAAGCGUGGGUAGCAAACAGGAUUAGAUACCCCUGUAGUC